AUGAUUAUAAAUCUUCAAGCAAAAAAAUAUGGAGAUUUGCUUUUGGGUUGUCGAUUCGAUUUCAAGAGAAGAAGAUGGAGAUAUCGGUGUGCAAUUUCAGACUUUAGGGAAACGGUACCAGGGGGCAAGACUUCCAAUAAAGAUCCUUUGGAUAUUUUUAUUGACGAGCUCGUGCAAAGGGAGAUUAUGAAUCACAUAUCCUUGGAGCAUCCAAAUAUCAUUUGA
This is a non-coding RNA of Vicia faba (fava bean), 225 nucleotides long. The record is from the annotation of a GenBank genome assembly. NCBI's taxonomy places the organism in Eukaryota, Viridiplantae, Streptophyta, Magnoliopsida, Fabales, Fabaceae.